GACGAACGCUGGCGGCGUGCCUAAUACAUGCAAGUAGAACGCUGAAGGAGGAGCUUGCUUCUCUGGAUGAGUUGCGAACGGGUGAGUAACGCGUAGGUAACCUGCCUGGUAGCGGGGGAUAACUAUUGGAAACGAUAGCUAAUACCGCAUAAGAGUAGAUGUUGCAUGACAUUUGCUUAAAAGGUGCAAUUGCAUCACUACCAGAUGGACCUGCGUUGUAUUAGCUAGUUGGUGAGGUAACGGCUCACCAAGGCAACGAUACAUGGCCGACCUGAGAGGGUGAUCGGCCACACUGGGACUGAGACACGGCCCAGACUCCUACGGGAGGCAGCAGUAGGGAAUCUUCGGCAAUGGACGGAAGUCUGACCGAGCAACGCCGCGUGAGUGAAGAAGGUUUUCGGAUCGUAAAGCUCUGUUGUAAAGAGAAAGAAACGAGUGUGAGAAGUGGAAAAGUUCCACC
RNAcentral lists this ribosomal RNA (460 nucleotides) under Streptococcus mitis. RNAcentral describes it as "bacterial SSU rRNA". It matches the Rfam family "Bacterial small subunit ribosomal RNA", at positions 28 to 497 of the family's 1533-position model. Lineage: Bacteria; Bacillati; Bacillota; Bacilli; Lactobacillales; Streptococcaceae. The record is from RNAcentral.